AACGUAGGAGGCGAGCGUUAUCCGGAGUUACUGGGCGUAAAGCGCGUGUAGGUGGUCUGUUGCGUCUGCUGUGAAAUGUCCCGGCUCAACCGGGACUAGGCGGUAGAUACGGGCAGACUAGAGGGUGACAGAGGAGCGUAGAAUUCCGGGUGUAGUGGUGAAAUGCGUAGAGAUCCGGAGGAAUACCAGUGGCGCAAGCGGCGCUCUGGGUCGAGCCUGACACUGAGACGCGAAGGCAUGGGGAGCGAACGGG
Molecule: ribosomal RNA, 253 nt
Filed under: uncultured bacterium
Lineage: Bacteria
Description: partial 16S ribosomal RNA
Rfam family: Bacterial small subunit ribosomal RNA
Source: RNAcentral